AAAUUCCCAUUUUUUUCGCCCCAAAAUUCCCAUUUUUUCUCCUAAUAGUCCCAGAAAAUCCCCCCAAAAUUCCCCUUUGUUCCCCAAAAAAUUCACCCAAAAAAAUCCUUUUUGUCCAAAAUCCCCCCAAAAAAUCAUGUAAAAAUUCAAAACAAUUCCCAUUUUUAGUCCCAAAAAUCCCCCUAAAAAUUCCCAUUUUUUCCCCCAAAAAUUCAUUUUCCCACUAAAUUCCAAAAAAAUCCCCCCCAAAAAUUUCCAUUUUUCCCACAAAAUUCCCAAAAAAUCCUCCCAAAAUCUCCCACUUUUUCCACAAAAACUUCCCAUUUCUUCCCCCAAAAAAUCCCCCAAAAAUUAAUAUAAAACUCUCUUUUUUUUUCCUCCAAACUUCCCAAAAUGUGCCCCAAUAAAUUCCCAUUUUUUAGUCCCAAAAAUCCCCCCAAAAAUGCCCGUUUUUUCCCCACCCAGCCGUGGGUUCCCGUUGUUCCUUCAGGCAGCCACAGCCAGGCCGUGCUGGAGGCCCCCAAAAUCCAAAAGAAUUCUCCUUUUCGCCCCAAAAAACCUCAUUUUUUCCCAAAAAAUUCCCGGUUUUCCCUCAAAAAUUUCCUUCUUUCACCCAAAAUUCCCUGUUUCCCCACCCAGCUGUGGGUUCCGGUUCUUCCCUCAGGCAGCCACAGCCGGGACAGCGCCGCACUUGAGGCGCCACCCCAAAAUCCAAAAAAAAAAAUCGCAUCUUUCCCCCAAAAAAUUUCAAUUUCUCAAAAAAAUGCAUAUUUUUUUCUCCCAAAAUUCCCAUUUUCCCCCAAAAUUCCUGGGUUUUUUCUACCAAAAUCCCCAAAAUCCCACGUUUCCACACCUAACCGUGGCUUCCCGUUGUUGCGUCGC
This 882-nucleotide long non-coding RNA is filed under the name Lonchura striata (white-rumped munia). RNAcentral describes it as "domestica (Bengalese finch) lncRNA (ENSLSDG00000012938.1)". The record is from RNAcentral. Lineage: Eukaryota; Metazoa; Chordata; Aves; Passeriformes; Estrildidae.